UCAAGCGACUAAGUGUAUGUGGUGGAUGCCUUGGCGAUCACAGGCGAUGAAGGACCCGGCAGCCUGGGAAAAGCCGUGGGGAGCUGGCAAGCAAGCUUUGAUCCACGGAUGUCCGAAUGAGGAAACUCACUUCCUUCGGGAAGUAUCAAUGAGUGAAUACAUAGCUCAUUGAGGCGAACGCAGUGAACUGAAACAUCUAAGUAACUGCAGGAACAGAAAUCAACCGAGAUUCUGAAAGUAGCGGCGAGCGAAAUUGGAAGAGCCUGCAAGCGUUAGCAGAUUCGAUACCGGAACGGUCUGGAAAGGCCGGCUACAGAGGGUGACAGCCCCGUACGGGAAAUUGGAUCUGUGAGACUAGGCUUGCGACAAGUAGGGCGGGACACGAGAAAUCCUGUCUGAAGAUGGGGGGACCAUCCUCCAAGGCUAAAUACUCGUGAUCGACCGAUAGUGAACCAGUACUGUGAAGGAAAGGUAAAAAGAACCCCGGGAGGGGAGUGAAAUAGAUCCUGAAACCGCAUACAUACAAACAGUAGGAGCCCGCAAGGGUGACUGCGUACCUUUUGCAUAAUGGGUCAGCGACUUACGUUCAAUGGCAAGCUUAACCGGAUAGGGGAGGCGCAGCGAAAGCGAGUCCGAACAGGGCGAAAUUCAGUCGUUGGGCGUAGACCCGAAACCAGAUGAUCUAUCCAUGGUCAGGCUGAAGGUGUGGUAACACACACUGGAGGGCCGAACCGACUAGUGUUGCAAAAUUAGCGGAUGAACUGUGGAUAGGGGUGAAAGGCUAAACAAAUCUGGAGAUAGCUGGUUCUCCCCGAAAACUAUUGAGGUAGUGCCUCGUGUAUGGCUCCAGGGGGUAGAGCACUGUUAUGGCUAGGGGGACAUGGCGUCUUACCAAACCAUGGCAAACUCCGAAUACUUGGAAGUUUGAGCACGGGAGACAGAGCACCGGGUGCUAACGUCCGGACUCAAAAGGGAAACAACCCAGACCGCCGGCUAAGGUCCCUAAUAUCGGCUAAGUGGAAAACGAAGUGGGAAGGCUAAGACAGUCAGGAAGUUGGCUUAGAAGCAGCCAUCCUUCAAAGAAAGCGUAAUAGCUCACUGAUCGAGUCUUCCUGCGCGGAAGAUGUAACGGGGCUAAGUCGAUAACCGAAGCCGCGGAUUCAACUGUAAAGGUUGAGUGGUAGGGGAGCGUUCCGUAAGCCUGAGAAGGCGGACCCGCGAGGGCCGCUGGAGGUAUCGGAAGUGCGAAUGCUGACAUGAGUAACGUUAAAGCGGGUGAAAAGCCCGCUCGCCGUAAGCCCAAGGUUUCCUGCUCUACGUUCAUCGGAGCAGGGUGAGUCGGCCCCUAAGGCGAGGCUGAGAAGCAUAGCUGAUGGGAACCAGGUUAAUAAUCCUGGACCGAUUGCAGGUGCGAAGGAGGGACGGAGUGCUGAAGGUCAUCCGGGUGUUGGAUAUCCCGGUUUGCGAGCGUAGGAAGCCGGCAGGCAAAUCCGCCGGCGAAUUUCCGAGGCGAAGCAUCGAGGCUGGUUUCAGCUGAAGUGACUGAAUGGACUUCCAGGAAAAGCUUCUAAGCAUCAGCCUGCAAUUGACCGUACCGCAAACCGACACUGGUGGGCGAGCUGAAUAUGCUCAGGCGCUUGAGAGAACUCAGGAGAAGGAACUCGGCAAAUUGACACCGUAACUUCGGGAUAAGGUGUGCCUUUGUAGUGUGAAGGGAGAAACGCCCCGAGCAUGAAGAGGUCUCAGAGAAUUGGUGGCUGCAACUGUUUACUAAAAACACAGCACUCUGCAAAGACGAAAGUCGACGUAUAGGGUGUGAUGCCUGCCCGGUGCUGGAAGAUUAAUUGAUGGGCUGCAAGGUCCUGAUCGAAGUCCCAGUAAACGGCGGCCGUAACUAUAACGGUCCUAAGGUAGCGAAAUUCCUUGUC
RNAcentral lists this ribosomal RNA (1928 nucleotides) under human gut metagenome. RNAcentral's name for it is "bacterial LSU rRNA". It matches the Rfam family "Bacterial large subunit ribosomal RNA", at positions 3 to 1973 of the family's 2925-position model. The record is from RNAcentral.